Molecule: ribosomal RNA, 1788 nt
Filed under: marine metagenome
Description: bacterial LSU rRNA
Rfam family: Bacterial large subunit ribosomal RNA
Source: RNAcentral
ACGAUGUGGGAAGGCUCAGACAGCUAGGAGGUUGGCUUAGAAGCAGCCAUCCUUUAAAGAAAGCGUAAUAGCUCACUAGUCGAGUCGGCCUGCGCGGAAGAUGUAACGGGGCUAAGUAAUAUACCGAAGCUGCGGACGCGAAGUUUACUUCGCGUGGUAGGGGAGCGUUGUGUAAGUGGCUGAAGGUGAGCUGAGAGGCGAGCUGGACAUAUCACAAGUGCGAAUGCUGACAUGAGUAACGAUAAUGGGGGUGAAAAACCCCCACGCCGGAAGACCAAGGUUUCCUGUCCCAUGCUAAUCAGGGCAGGGUAAGUCGGCCCCUAAGGCGAGGCAGAAAUGCGUAGUCGAUGGGAAACGGAUUAAUAUUUCCGUACUUGGUAUAUCAGUGAAGGGGGGACGGAGAAAGUUAUGCAAGCCUGGCGUUGGUUGUCCAGGUGAAAGUGCGUAGAGUUGGACCUUAGGCAAAUCCGGGGUCCUACAUGCUCGAGACACGAGACGAGACUCCAAGGAGUUGAAGUUGCAAAUACUAUGCUUCCAGGAAAAGCCUCUAAACUUAUGAUAUAUCGAACCGUACCCCAAACCGACACAGGUGGUCAGGUAGAGAAUACUAAGGCGCUUGAGAGAACUUGGGUGAAGGAACUCGGCAAAAUCGUACCGUAACUUCGGGAGAAGGUACGCCUCUGUUUGUGAUUGGACUUGCUUCAUGAGCGAACGGGGGCCGCAGUGAAAUGGUGGCUGGAACUGUUUAUUAAAAACACAGCACUGUGCUAAAUCGAAAGAUGACGUAUACGGUGUGACGCCUGCCCGGUGCCGGAAGGUUAAUUGAUGGGGUUAUCUUCGGAGAAGCUCUUGAUCGAAGCCCCGGUAAACGGCGGCCGUAACUAUAACGGUCCUAAGGUAGCGAAAUUCCUUGUCGGGUAAGUUCCGACCUGCACGAAUGGCGUAAUCAUGGCCACGCUGUCUCCACCCAAGACUCAGUGAAAUUGAAAUUGCAGUGAAGAUGCUGUGUACCCGCACCUAGACGGAAAGACCCCGUGAACCUUUACUAUAGCUUGGCACUGAACAUUGACCCUACAUGUGUAGGAUAGGUGGGAGACUUCGAAGCAUUGUCGCCAGAUGAUGUGGAGUCAACCUUGAAAUACCACCCUUGUAGGUUUGAUGUUCUAACAUAGGUCCCUUAUCGGGAUUGUGGACAGUGUCUGGUGGGUAGUUUGACUGGGGCGGUCUCCUCCCAAAGCGUAACGGAGGAGCACGAAGGUUGGCUAAUCCUGGUCGGACAUCAGGAGGUUAGUGCAAUGGCAUAAGCCAGCUUAACUGCGAGACAGACACGUCGAGCAGGUACGAAAGUAGGUCAUAGUGAUCCGGUGGUUCUGAAUGGAAGGGCCAUCGCUCAACGGAUAAAAGGUACUCCGGGGAUAACAGGCUGAUACCGCCCAAGAGUUCAUAUCGACGGCGGUGUUUGGCACCUCGAUGUCGGCUCAUCACAUCCUGGGGCUGAAGUCGGUCCCAAGGGUAUGGCUGUUCGCCAUUUAAAGUGGUACGCGAGCUGGGUUUAGAACGUCGUGAGACAGUUCGGUCCCUAUCUGGUGUGGGCGUUGGAUGAUUGAUGGGAGCUGCUCCUAGUACGAGAGGACCGGAGUGGACGAACCGCUGGUGUUCGGGUUGUCAUGCCAAUGGCAUUGCCCGGUAGCUACGUUCGGAAUCGAUAACCGCUGAAAGCAUCUAAGCGGGAAGCGAGCCCAGAGAUGAGUCAUCCCAGACAGUUUAACUGUCCUGAAGGGUUGUUGU